UUGUUGGUAAGGUAAAAGCUUACCAAGGCUUCGAUCAGUAGCUGGUCUGAGAGGACGACCAGCCACACUGGGACUGAGACACGGCCCAGACUCCUACGGGAGGCAGCAGUGGGGAAUUUUGGACAAUGGGGGCAACCCAGAUCCAGCCAUGCCGCGUGAGUGAAGAAGGCCUUCGGGUUGUAAAGCUCUUUCAGCCGGAACGAAACGGUUACGGUUAAUACCCGUGACUACUGACGGUACCGGAAGAAGAAGCACCGGCUAACUACGUGCCAGCAGCCGCGGUAAUACGUAGGGUGCGAGCGUUAAUCGGAAUUACUGGGCGUAAAGCGUGCGCAGGUGGUUUUGUAAGUCAGAUGUGAAAGCCCCGGGCUCAACCUGGGAACUGCGUUUGAAACUACAAGACUAGAGUGUGGCAGAGGGGGGUGGAAUUCCGCGUGUAGCAGUGAAAUGCGUAGAGAUGUGGAGGAACACCGAUGGCGAAGGCAGCCCCCUGGGUCAACACUGACGCUCAGGCACGAAAGCAUGGGGAGCAAACAGGAUUAGAUACCCUGGUAGUCCAUGCCCUAAACGAUGUCAACUAGUUGUCGGGCCUUUACGGGCUUGGUAACGUAGCUAACGCGUGAAGUUGACCGCCUGGGGAGUACGAUCGCAAGAUUAAAACUCAAAUGAAUUGACGGGGACCCGCACAAGCGGUGGAUUAUGUGGAUUAAUUCGAUGCAACGCGAAAAACCUUACCUACCCUUGACAUGUAUCGAAGCCCGCAGAAAAGCGGGGGUGCCCGAAAGGGAACGAUAACACAGGUGCUGCAUGGCUGUCGUCAGCUCGUGUCGUGAGAUGUUGGGUUAAGUCCCGCAACGAGCGCAACCCUUGUCAUUAAUUGCCAUCAUUUAGUUGGGCACUUUAAUGAGACUGCCGG
RNAcentral lists this ribosomal RNA (916 nucleotides) under uncultured bacterium. RNAcentral's name for it is "bacterial SSU rRNA". It matches the Rfam family "Bacterial small subunit ribosomal RNA", at positions 246 to 1155 of the family's 1533-position model. The record is from RNAcentral.